UACGUAGGGGGCGAGCGUUGUCCGGAUUCAUUGGGCGUAAAGAGCUCGUAGGCGGUUCGGCAAGUCGGGUGUGAAAACUCCAGGCUCAACCUGGAGACGCCACCCGAUACUGCUGUGACUCGAGUCCGGUAGGGGACCACGGAAUUCCUGGUGUGAGCGGUGGAAAUGACGCAGAGUAUCAGGAGGAACACCGGUGGCGAAGGCGGUGGUCUGGGCCGGAACUGACGCUGAGGAGCGAAAGCGUGGGGAGCGAACAGG
This 258-nucleotide ribosomal RNA is filed under the name uncultured bacterium. RNAcentral describes it as "partial 16S ribosomal RNA". It matches the Rfam family "Bacterial small subunit ribosomal RNA", at positions 524 to 776 of the family's 1533-position model. The record is from RNAcentral.